UUCAGGAACGAAUCCGCUCGGAAGUCAAGCCAAUAGAAAUGGACGAAAUUAUUUUAUUGGACAACUCAAUGAAAACCAUAAGUGCAAGACCUUUUCAAGACAUGGAAAGCUAAGCAUUAACCAUACAUGAGACCUUUGAGUUCCUCUAAGCAUAGGAGCCAUAUGUGAAUGCACAGUUAGCACACCCCUGAAGUCAACUUUGCUGAUAUCAUAGAAUUAUUUUAUAUCCUGGAAUAAGUCAAAUAUGUUUAAGUAGCAAUGCACUCACAGUUUACAAGAGUUAUAUAUUCUGUACAUAUAUUAUAUGCAAUAGGAGGGCUGUUGUAAAAUGAACCUUUGGAGAGCAGUUUGAUAAAACAAAAAAUGAAGUAAACAUUUUUAUUACAUACAAAAUAUAGCUAAAUGUCAAAGCUACUUCUCAACACAAUCACUUUGUAAAUUCAGGCAUCAUAGCAUGGGAUGAGUUUCUGUAUACCCCUCAUCAUACCUGGUUGCUGAGCCAAUCAUUUAGCUCUUCAUUUGUAUGAAAAUGCUGCAUUCCCAGUCAGAUCAUCUGUAAGAAAAAUGAAAAAUUACUGGGCUAUUUGGUGGAUAUAGAAUAAGUCCCAAUGAAACUGCCAAAGGAAGUCUUUUGUGCAAACAGCUGUGUACGGGCAUGCAUUGUCAUGCAGAAACAAUGCCUGAUGUCAGCAUUCCUGUUCAUUUGUUUGAAUGGAUCUAUACAACUUUUUCAAGAUUUCACAGUACGUCUAUGAAUUUCUCUCUCAUGCAGCAACUUCUUCAAUAAGGGGAUGUACCCUUGUCCAUUAUGACAAGCGUUUGAAUUUAUAGGGUGAUUAUGCUGAGAAGUAUCUAAGCAUGCAGCUAACUUUUGUACACAAAAAUAUAAGAAAGAACAAAAUUUUAUUAACUGCUCACCAGAAGUUGAUUUCCAAAGAACUAUUGUAUUGAAAUUUGAAUGAAUAAAUAAUUAUUAUUUGUGGAUCAUUAA
This is a long non-coding RNA of Centruroides sculpturatus (bark scorpion), 991 nucleotides long. RefSeq lists it as uncharacterized. The record is from RefSeq and is a predicted model, not a curated record. NCBI's taxonomy places the organism in Eukaryota, Metazoa, Arthropoda, Arachnida, Scorpiones, Buthidae. The transcript is spliced from 2 exons.